Molecule: ribosomal RNA, 253 nt
Filed under: uncultured prokaryote
Description: partial 16S ribosomal RNA
Rfam family: Bacterial small subunit ribosomal RNA
Source: RNAcentral
UACGGAGGAUCCAAGCGUUAUCCGGAUUCAUUGGGUUUAAAGGGUGCGUAGGCGGAAUGAUAAGUCAGUGGUGAAAUCCCUUCGCUUAACGAAGGAACUGCCAUUGAUACUGUCAAUCUUGAGUACAUUUGAUGUGGGCGGAAUGUGUCAUGUAGCGGUGAAAUGCUUAGAUAUCGGAAGGAACAUCAGUGGCGAAAGCGACCUCCUGGACCAAUACUGACACUCAAGUGCGAAAACGUGGGGAGCAAACAGG